This is a non-coding RNA of Galeopterus variegatus (Sunda flying lemur), 75 nucleotides long. NCBI's taxonomy places the organism in Eukaryota, Metazoa, Chordata, Mammalia, Dermoptera, Cynocephalidae. The record is from the annotation of a RefSeq genome assembly.
GGCCAGUUGGCUCAGUUGGUUAGAGCAUGGUGUUGAGAACACUAAAGUCAAGGGUUCGGAUCCCCUUACUGGUCA